Molecule: long non-coding RNA, 458 nt
Filed under: Pan troglodytes (chimpanzee)
Lineage: Eukaryota; Metazoa; Chordata; Mammalia; Primates; Hominidae
Description: lncRNA (ENSPTRG00000054225.1)
Source: RNAcentral
AACAGUAGCAGCAAAAAGCACAGGAGUAGUCUGUUUUUCACUCAUUCAGCUGUGUCAGCAUCAGGUUUAUGCUUGACAAUUUCUCAAACAGGUGUGUGUUAGCCAGAGUGAUGUCAAUCAACUAAAGGUCUCAAAGCUGAGAGACAACUUGCAUGGGAAAAGAGCAACAGAAAAAUCUGAAACAUCAGGUCUUCAUUGUUUUGUUUUGCCCUUCUCUUCCAUAGACAAGGUAGGAAAAGUCUGCCAUUACUGAAUAUAUUCAAUACUACCCUGAGAGAAGAAAUGAGGUGCUCAUGGGAAAAAAGUCAAAUAUAUGAUUGUUGCUUAAUUUAAGCUUGGUGGUCAUUUUCAUAGCCAGUAUAAACUGACAGAGCCUCAGUAUUUCAAACAGACUGUACCUUUUUUUUUUUUUUCCAAGACCUCUAAUGAUAUCAGAAGCUAACUCUGCCAUGGAAAAG